AGGGUUCGAUUAUGGCUCAGGAUGAACGCUGGCGGCGUGCUUAACACAUUCAAGUCGUACGAACUGAUUUUGAAGCUUGCUUCGGAAGAAAGUUAGUGGCGGACGGGUGAGUAACGCGUGAGCAACCUGCCUUUGUGAGGGGGAUAACACAGGGAAACUUGUGCUAAUACCGCAUGACGCAUACGAAAGACAUCUUUAGUAUGUUAAAGGAGCAAUCCGCACAAAGAUGGGCUCGCGUCUGAUUAGAUAGUUGGUGGGGUAACGGCCUACCAAGUCGACGAUCAGUAGCCGGACUGAGAGGUUGAACGGCCACAUUGGAACUGAGAAACGGUCCAG
This 336-nucleotide ribosomal RNA is filed under the name uncultured bacterium. RNAcentral's name for it is "bacterial SSU rRNA". It matches the Rfam family "Bacterial small subunit ribosomal RNA", at positions 8 to 334 of the family's 1533-position model. The record is from RNAcentral.